RNAcentral lists this ribosomal RNA (459 nucleotides) under uncultured bacterium. RNAcentral describes it as "partial 16S ribosomal RNA". It matches the Rfam family "Bacterial small subunit ribosomal RNA", at positions 338 to 795 of the family's 1533-position model. The record is from RNAcentral.
CCUACGGGGAGCAGCAGUGAGGAAUAUUGGUCAAUGGCCGAGAGGCUGAACCAGCCAAGUCGCGUGAGGGAAGACGGCCCUACGGGUUGUAAACUUCUUUUGUCGGGGAGUAAAGCGAGUCACGUGUGACUCAUUGAGAGUACCCGAAGAAAAAGCAUCGGCAAACGCGGUGCCAGCAGCCGCGGUAGUACGGAGGAUGCGAGCGGUAUCCGGAUUUAUUGGGGUAAAAGGGUGCGCAGGCGGAGGUGCAAGUCAGCGGUCAAAUUGCGGGGCUCAACCCCGUACUGCCGUUGAAACUGCAUCCCUUGAGUGCGCGAGAAGUAUGCGGAAGGCGUGGUGUAGCGGUGAAAUGCAUAGAUAUCACGCAGAACUCCGAUUGCGAAGGCAGCAUACCGGCGCGCAACUGACGCUCAGGCACGAAAGCGUGGGUAUCGAACAGGAUUAGAUACCCUUGUAGUC